Molecule: long non-coding RNA, 383 nt
Organism: Micropterus salmoides (largemouth bass)
Lineage: Eukaryota; Metazoa; Chordata; Actinopteri; Centrarchiformes; Centrarchidae
Exons: 2
Source: RefSeq, a predicted model, not a curated record
GAUAGAUAGAUGUGCAUGAUUCUGUGCUGCUCGGUAGGCAUUCUAGACAUCACAGAUUGUACAAUUAAUAACUCUGCAUAUUUUAUGAGCAUGCCAGUCCAUCUGCUUUAUGAAUGCAUGUAAAACUGUCCUCUUCAGGACGCCCUGUUGUGCAUAUCAAAAGGACUUCAAGUUCAAAUCAACAGCAAGAAGAACGCACAGGGACAUAGCAUCGUGAAGAGAAUAUGAACAGUGGCGGAAUGUGCAGAUUAGAGCACCACCACCACCACAACGGCUUCAUCACCACCUUAAAAUAUGAUGAUGUCAGUGGGGUCUAAUUGCCAAAGACUCUGACAAUUCUCCACUUUAAUGUGCACAUGGCAAUAAAAAUAUUUGUUCACUCA